This 402-nucleotide ribosomal RNA is filed under the name bacterium. RNAcentral's name for it is "partial 16S ribosomal RNA". It matches the Rfam family "Bacterial small subunit ribosomal RNA", at positions 355 to 776 of the family's 1533-position model. The record is from RNAcentral.
UGGGGAAUUUUGCACAAUGGGGGAAACCCUGAUGCAGCGACGCCGCGUGAUUUAGAAGGCCUUCGGGUUGUAAAAAUCUUUUCUAUGGGAAGAAAAUGCCAGUACCAUAGGAAUAAGGACCGGCUAAUUACGUUCCAGCAGCCGCGGUAAUACGUAAGGUCCGAGCGUUGUCCGGAAUCAUUGGGCGUAAAGGGUACGUAGGCGGGUAAGCAAGUUAGAAGUGAAAUCCUAUAGCUCAACUAUAGUAAGUUUUUAAAACUGCUCAUCUUGAGGUAUGGAAGGGAAAGUGGAAUUCCUAGUGUAGCGGUGAAAUGCGAAGAUAUUAGGAGGAGUACCGGUGGCGAAGGCGACUUUCUGGCCAUAGCAGGACGCUGAGGUACGAAAGCGUGGGAAGCAAACAGG